This 1161-nucleotide long non-coding RNA is filed under the name Sus scrofa (pig). RNAcentral's name for it is "lncRNA (ENSSSCG00015012641.1)". The record is from RNAcentral. Lineage: Eukaryota; Metazoa; Chordata; Mammalia; Artiodactyla; Suidae.
UCGUGCAGAGUGGCCCGCCGGGACCGCAGAGACGGGGAGAGCCCCAAGGCCGGUGGCCCGAGGCAGGAUCGGCCUGUCCCCUCCCUCUCCCGCCCUCAGUCCAGCCUCCCGACUCCCGACUCCAAGUGUCGGCAAACUCUGAACACCCAGCGUCCGCGCCCCUGCGCUGCCUGGGUUCCCUGCUCUUUCCCGGGGGCCCUUCCCAGGGUCUCCUCCCCCAACACCUCGGGGGACCUAGUGGAGCCGGGGGGACCGGAUUCCGGAGGGUGGAGCAGCCAGGUGAGCCCUGAAAGGUGGGGCGGGGCGGGGGCGCUCAGGGCCCCACCCCAGGAUCCGGUGACGCCAGGGCUGGAAUUUGACACCGGACGGCAGCAGGCAUGAGGCUGCGGAGGGAUGGAGUUGGGCCCGGCCCCCAGACACGGCCCGCGGGCUCUGCCAGCAGCAGGUCCCUCGGGUCCCAGCCCUCACUGUGUCCCGGACCCAGAGCCCUCCACGCGCGGGCUCAGACGGGCUGCCAAGACCACGCUUUUGGCUAAAAGAGGCGCUGCCAGGUGCAGAGCUCUGGGCGUGAGCCUUUGGAGCCGCGGGGGAAAGCCCAGCUCUGGUCCCAGAAAAGGUGCCUAGAGGAACACGACACAACCGCCGGGGUGAGUGUGGGGCUGGUGGAUGGGGAGGCCAGGCCUGCACUGGAGGACCAGGUGGCCCCAGAUCUUGGGUUGGGAGACCUAGGGCCUGAGCUGCCCUCCAGAGACCUGCUCCUGGGCGCCCCCUAGCGCAGGGGCCCUUGCGCCGGCCUCGCCAAGCUUUCCCUCCGUCAGUGAGAACAGUCACUAACCUGGCUCCUCAGGCCCAUGUUCCGUUAGCCAAGCACCCUUGGCCCUGGAGGACCAUGCCAGGGUGGUCUGGCCCACGGGUAUGCAGACAUUCCGUGUGCUGGGGGGUGGGGGGUGGAGUGCCCACUAGGACCCAAGAGCAGGCCCGCUGGUGAGGGUUCAUGAGGGCUCCAGAGAGGUGACUGGGGGUGCUAGAUGGUGCACGCUCACAAAAGCUGCUGGGGCUCAGGAAGGCUGGCUGGGCUCAGGAAGGAUGGUUCAUGGGGCAAACUUCUAGGAGCAGGGCCAGGCUGUCAGGACCAGGGGAAGCUAGAAGGGAAACAAAUCC